RNAcentral lists this ribosomal RNA (459 nucleotides) under uncultured bacterium. Its description in RNAcentral is "partial 16S ribosomal RNA". It matches the Rfam family "Bacterial small subunit ribosomal RNA", at positions 338 to 795 of the family's 1533-position model. The record is from RNAcentral.
CCUACGGGCGGCAGCAGUGAGGAAUAUUGGUCAAUGGUCGGGAGACUGAACCAGCCAAGCCGCGUGAGGGAGGAAGGUACAGAGUAUCGUAAACCUCUUUUGUCAGGGAACAAAGGCGGGGACGUGACCCCGAAUGAGUGUACCUGAAGAAAAAGCAUCGGCUAACUCCGUGCCAGCAGCCGCGGUAAUACGGAGGAUGCGAGCGUUAUCGGGAUGUAUUGGGUUUAAAGGGGGCGCAGGGGGUCUGUUAAGUCAGCGGUCAAAGCCCGGGGCUCAACCCCGGCCCGCCGUUGAAACUGGCAGUCUUGAGUUGGAGAGAGGUAUGCGGAAUGCGCGGUGUAGCGGUGAAAUGCGUAGAUAUCGCGCAGAACACCGAUUGCGAAGGCAGCAUGCCGGCUCCACACUGACGCUGAGGCACGAAAGCGUGGGUAUCGAACAGGAUUAGAUACCCCAGUAGUC